Aplysia californica (California sea hare) is the source of this 1220-nucleotide long non-coding RNA. RefSeq lists it as uncharacterized. The transcript is spliced from 2 exons. Lineage: Eukaryota; Metazoa; Mollusca; Gastropoda; Aplysiida; Aplysiidae. The record is from RefSeq and is a predicted model, not a curated record.
UCUCUCUCUCUCUCUCCUCUCUCCAUCUCCUCUACUCCUCCUCCAUUGGAAUGAACGGCUGGACCGGCGGAUGGCAAAUCACGUGAUCUGCCCCCUCCCCCCCCCCCCAACCGGCCGCUCUGGAAUCGGGAGCUCGGAGGAGACGGACGGGACUAGCACCAGCCACGCACCCUUCGUCCAAUGUAGAAUCUGGAUCUAUAAUUCAUGAGACGCCGGCAGCCAAUCAGAGGAGAGCUUACAUGGGAGACGGAGUCAGAUCGAAGCCCUGAGAUAGGAGGCCUGCUCAGGGCAGGACAGAGCAACUACGACAGCUUCCUCAUCCGGACGCGUUUCUAGACACUUCCGCCCACCGCUGGAAAACUCCGGUCCCGCUGCUGCUGCUGCUGUCGUUGCUGCUGUCGUUGUUGCUGAUGAUGGUGGUGCUGAUGGUGUUGAUGAUGGUGGUGAUGGUGCUGGAGCCGGCAGCUUCAUCUUCUUCUUUUUCUUCGUCUUCUUCUUCGUCUUCGUCUUCUUCUUUUUCUUUUUACCUCCUGUCGUCGGUUGAGGUUGAGAAUCGUUGCUGCUGAAGAUGAUGAUGCAAGGACGACGACGACAAUGACGAUGACGAUGAAGAUGGUGAUGCUGAUGUAGCUGAGGCUUGAAAUUGUCUUCUGGUUGCUGCAACGAGCUUUAUGCAACGUCUCCCUCUCUUGGAGGAUGGCAAACUGUGUACUACGCAAGUGGCCUUAGACUGCUUUGUGCCACAACACCACAGGGAUCAGAUGAGCUGACCUCGCCGCGCACUCCUGCCCGCAGAUAGUUUAUGCCAUGAGGGAAAAUAAGACAUUUGAACUGACACUUAACACUUUAAGACUUAGAUCCCAACCAAGUGGCCACCGCACUAUAAGAAUGACUUGAGAUUUCUUGUGACAGUGUUCGAUGUCAUCGUAAACAACAGAUCUUACGACUCUGUGCCGAGAAAUGUGAAACAGUUGAACCGAGUGUGGCUGACGACUGUGGCAGAGAAGAUAAAGCUACAUCAGCUGUGAUGAAAACAAAAUGGUGACUGAAGCUUUGAUUGCUCGACUUAGCAACCUUCGAUGAAAGAUGAAGGCCUGGAAGAAAAGAACGGCUCCGAGAAGCGACGAAGACGACGACGACGAUGAUGAUGAUGAUGAAGAUGAAGAUGAUGACGACAAUGGUGACGACCUUGAGACGACAACGACAUCAUCACAGCUUCG